CUACGGGAGGCAGCAGUGGGGAAUAUUGGACCAUGGGCGAAAGCCUGAUCCAGCCAUGCCGCGUGUGUGAAGAAGGCCUUCGGGUUGUAAAGCACUUUCAGUGGGGAAGAAAGCCUUGGGGCUAAUACCCUCGAGGAAGGACAUCACCCACAGAAGAAGCACCGGCUAACUCCGUGCCAGCAGCCGCGGUAAUACGGAGGGUGCGAGCGUUAAUCGGAAUUACUGGGCGUAAAGCGCGCGUAGGCGGUCUGAUAAGCCGGUUGUGAAAGCCCCGGGCUCAACCUGGGAACGGCAUCCGGAACUGUCAGGCUAGAGUGCAGGAGAGGAAGGUAGAAUUCCCGGUGUAGCGGUGAAAUGCGUAGAGAUCGGGAGGAAUACCAGUGGCGAAGGCGGCCUUCUGGACUGACACUGACGCUGAGGUGCGAAAGCGUGGGUAGCAAACAGGAUUAGAUACCCGAGUAGUC
RNAcentral lists this ribosomal RNA (464 nucleotides) under Vreelandella stevensii. RNAcentral describes it as "partial 16S ribosomal RNA". It matches the Rfam family "Bacterial small subunit ribosomal RNA", at positions 339 to 795 of the family's 1533-position model. The record is from RNAcentral. Lineage: Bacteria; Pseudomonadati; Pseudomonadota; Gammaproteobacteria; Oceanospirillales; Halomonadaceae.